CCGAAAUGAAAGAGGAAGAAGAAGAAGAGGAGUUUUUGCGUUUUUCGAUGCCUCUUCUUAGCAGUUAGCAGUAGCACUAGCUAUUCAUGUGAAUCAUGUCUCGCUUUCGGCGCUACCCUUGUUCAUGAUCCUCUUGGUGGUCGUGGGCUCCGACGCCGACGACGAGCUCCACCUGGUCGUCGAGGUACCGGUGCAGCAGCCGGAGCCGGCCGCCGGCGCGCACCGUCGCCGUCUCGUCCGGCACGCGGUCGCGGUCUCCGUCGCCGUCGCCGUCGCCGUCGCAGCAGCCGCCACGCGAUCUCCCGCUGGCCACCAGCUUCCUCCUGACCCUCAGGAAGCGGACGGCGGCCACGGCGCAGCAGAGCAGCGGCAGCCAGAGGACGGCCAGCGCCAGGGCCGCCGGGAGCAGCCACAGCGCCAGAGCCGCCGCGGCCACCGCCCGCCACGACGUCGGCGGCCCGCGGGCGCCGCCCAUGUGUCCUUCGUCCUUCUUCUGCCCGGCCGGCUGGCAGUGGCAGGACGAAGGAAGGA
Molecule: unclassified non-coding RNA, 531 nt
Filed under: Zea mays
Lineage: Eukaryota; Viridiplantae; Streptophyta; Magnoliopsida; Poales; Poaceae
Description: misc RNA Zm00001eb408120
Source: RNAcentral